CCUGAGAGAGAGAGAGAGAGACAUGGAGAGAGACAUUGAGAGAGAGUGAGAGAGACAUGGAGAGAGAGUGAGAGAGACAUUGAGAGAGACAUGGAGAGAGAAGAAUAAUUACAUGGAGAAACAUAGAAAUACACAUGGUUAUUGUUUGAUUUCAUUCGUUUGUGUCACCAUACACAAGUAUCAAAAAUGUGCUUCAAUAAUAAAUAAUACAGUAAUCAACUAAUUUGGCUCAUAGGAGUACAAAGAAAGAGGCAUACAGUACAUCUCACUCUUAUCAGAGACAGGACAGAAAUCCCUUCCUCAACACAACACAGGAUCUGUACAAUUAUAUCAUGUGAACAGAGUAAAGGACCCACAUC
This is a long non-coding RNA of Gadus macrocephalus (Pacific cod), 359 nucleotides long. RefSeq lists it as uncharacterized. Lineage: Eukaryota; Metazoa; Chordata; Actinopteri; Gadiformes; Gadidae. The record is from RefSeq and is a predicted model, not a curated record. The transcript has 2 exons.